GGCUAAUCCUGGUCGGACAUCAGGAGGUUAGUGCAAUGGCAUAAGCCAGCUUGACUGCGAGCGUGACGGCGCGAGCAGGUGCGAAAGCAGGUCAUAGUGAUCCGGUGGUUCUGAAUGGAAGGGCCAUCGCUCAACGGAUAAAAGGUACUCCGGGGAUAACAGGCUGAUACCGCCCAAGAGUUCAUAUCGACGGCGGUGUUUGGCACCUCGAUGUCGGCUCAUCACAUCCUGGGGCUGAAGUAGGUCCCAAGGGUAUGGCUGUUCGCCAUUUAAAGUGGUACGCGAGCUGGGUUUAGAACGUCGUGAGACAGUUCGGUCCCUAUCUGCCGUGGGCGCUGGAGAACUGAGGGGGGCUGCUCCUAGUACGAGAGGACCGGAGUGGACGCAUCACUGGUGUUCGGGUUGUCAUGCCAAUGGCACUGCCCGGUAGCUAAAUGCGGAAGAGAUAAGUGCUGAAAGCAUCUAAGCACGAAACUUGCCCCGAGAUGAGU
RNAcentral lists this ribosomal RNA (491 nucleotides) under Escherichia coli. RNAcentral's name for it is "partial 23S ribosomal RNA". It matches the Rfam family "Bacterial large subunit ribosomal RNA", at positions 2319 to 2809 of the family's 2925-position model. The record is from RNAcentral. Lineage: Bacteria; Pseudomonadati; Pseudomonadota; Gammaproteobacteria; Enterobacterales; Enterobacteriaceae.